This 257-nucleotide ribosomal RNA is filed under the name uncultured bacterium. RNAcentral's name for it is "partial 16S ribosomal RNA". It matches the Rfam family "Bacterial small subunit ribosomal RNA", at positions 524 to 776 of the family's 1533-position model. The record is from RNAcentral.
UACAGAGGGUGCAAGCGUUAAUCGGAAUUACUGGGCGUAAAGCGAGCGUAGUCGGUUAUUUAAGUCGGAUGUGAAAGACCCCCGGGCUCAACCUGGGAAUUGCACUCGAUACUGGAUAGCUAGAGUUCGGCAGAGGGAAGCGGAAUUUCCGGUGUAGCGGUGAAAUGCGUAGAUAUCAGGAGGAACACCGGUGGCGAAGGCGGGUCUCUGGGCCGAUACUGACGCUGAGGAGCGAAAGCGUGGGGGGAGCGAACAGG